UACGGGGGGGGCAAGCGUUGUUCGGAAUUACUGGGCGUAAAGGGCUCGUAGGCGGCUAACUAAGUCGGAUGUGAAAUCCCCAGGCUUAACCUGGGAACUGCAUCCGAUACUGGAUGGCUUGAAUUCGGGAGAGGGAUGCAGAAUUCCAGGUGUAGCGGUGAAAUGCGUAGAUAUCUGGAGGAAUACCGGUGGCGAAGGCGGCAUCCUGGACCGGCAUUGACGCUGAGUGAGCGAAAGCCAGGGGAGCAAACGGG
This 254-nucleotide ribosomal RNA is filed under the name uncultured bacterium. Its description in RNAcentral is "partial 16S ribosomal RNA". It matches the Rfam family "Bacterial small subunit ribosomal RNA", at positions 524 to 776 of the family's 1533-position model. The record is from RNAcentral.